This is a long non-coding RNA of Cydia splendana, 442 nucleotides long. RefSeq lists it as uncharacterized. NCBI's taxonomy places the organism in Eukaryota, Metazoa, Arthropoda, Insecta, Lepidoptera, Tortricidae. The record is from RefSeq and is a predicted model, not a curated record. The transcript has 3 exons.
CUUCGUGUAUCUUAUUAUUAUAGUUGAUUGUGUCGUGCUGCGUGAAAUUGUACUGUUUGUUUGUGAACUAUUACAAAGAUGUUUCUGUCGCAAGAGAACCUGGCUGAAGAAAUCCGGCAACAAGCCGCUUCUAUAGGUGCCUAAUGCGAGAAAAAUUCCGCUAAGUGAAAGUUCUGGACGCGGAGUUUGUAAAUACCACGCUGCAUAUUUCCACAUCCACGACGAAAUAGCUGUAGGACCCUGUUCAAUAAGGCAGAUUAUCAAGAUGAAGUGGGCCGGGACCAAAUGGAUGCCUGUUUCUCAGCAAGCGGUGUCCAACUGCUAAAUUACCCCGGUCUUAUCAGUAUGGGCUAUCAUUAAAGCCGGGGGUUUUCGAUGCACACAUGUGACCCUUCAUGGGCCAUAGGAAUAUGAAGACCGCUUCUUGUAUAUAUUUUCCAUC